Molecule: ribosomal RNA, 467 nt
Filed under: uncultured bacterium
Lineage: Bacteria
Description: partial 16S ribosomal RNA
Rfam family: Bacterial small subunit ribosomal RNA
Source: RNAcentral
ACGAACGCUGGCGGCGUGCUUAACACAUGCAAGUCGAACGGAAAGGCCCUGCUUUUGUGGGGUGCUCGAGUGGCGAACGGGUGAGUAACACGUGAGUAACCUGCCCUUGACUUUGGGAUAACUUCAGGAAACUGGGGCUAAUACCGGAUAGGAGCUCCUGCUGCAUGGUGGGGGUUGGAAAGUUUCGGCGGUCGGGGAUGGACUCGCGGCUUAUCAGCUUGUUGGUGGGGUAGUGGCUUACCAAGGCUUUGACGGGUAGCCGGCCUGAGAGGGUGACCGGCCACAUUGGGACUGAGAUACGGCCCAGACUCCUACGGGAGGCAGCAGUGGGGAAUAUUGCACAAUGGGCGGAAGCCUGAUGCAGCAACGCCGCGUGCGGGAUGACGGCCUUCGGGUUGUAAACCGCUUUCGCCUGUGACGAAGCGUGAGUGACGGUAAUGGGUAAAGAAGCACCGGCUAACUACGUG